GACGAACGCUGGCGGCGUGCUUAACACAUGCAAGUCGAACGGAAAGGCCUCAGCUUGCUGGGGUACUCGAGUGGCGAACGGGUGAGUAACACGUGGGUUAUCUGCCUUGCACUCUGGGAUAAGCUUGGGAAACUGUGUCUAAUACCGGAUAUGAACUGCCUUUAGUGUGGUGGUUGGAAAGUUUUUUCGGUGCAAGAUGAGCUCGCGGCCUAUCAGCUUGUUGGUGGGGUAAUGGCCUACCAAGGCGUCGACGGGUAGCCGGCCUGAGAGGGUGUACGGCCACAUUGGGACUGAGAUACGGCCCAGACUCCUACGGGAGGCAGCAGUGGGGAAUAUUGCACAAUGGGCGGAAGCCUGAUGCAGCGACGCCGCGUGGGGGAUGACGGCCUUCGGGUUGUAAACUCCUUUCGACAGGGACGAAGCUUUUUGUGACGGUACCUGUAUAAGAAGCACCGGCUAACUACGUG
RNAcentral lists this ribosomal RNA (467 nucleotides) under uncultured bacterium. RNAcentral describes it as "partial 16S ribosomal RNA". It matches the Rfam family "Bacterial small subunit ribosomal RNA", at positions 28 to 507 of the family's 1533-position model. The record is from RNAcentral.